Non-coding RNA from Coffea arabica (coffee), 2732 nucleotides. The record is from RefSeq and is a predicted model, not a curated record. Lineage: Eukaryota; Viridiplantae; Streptophyta; Magnoliopsida; Gentianales; Rubiaceae.
UAGACUCCCAUAGGCCAUAGAGCAUCGGAGGCUGGGAUCUCUCUUCAAGAACUUGCCCCAGCGUCAUUCCUUGACCGAUAUUUUGAUUAUCUUUUAGUCUUUAAUUCCCAAUUUCCAACAAUAUUUGAUUAAUAAAUACUUGCUUUUGUAUACCCUUUAUAUAGUUGACUAUUGUUUUAAGUAUGCAAUAGUAAAAAUUCAAGAAUCAUUCAAUCCUUCACAUCAUCACCAAUUUUGAUUACCUGGGUUCUGCUCAGUCAGCCAAUCAGGUGAAAUUCAAAGGACUCGUGUCAAAUUCGUUCCUUGUAUCUUUAUUCUUGUAUUGAAGUCCUGGACUGGAGAUGAGAGCAAUUCUUAGGUCCAUUAGACAAUUUAGAUCAGCUUUGCGAUAUAGAGGAGAUAUAUUCUAUAAUGGGCUCUCAAAAAGACAGCAUUGUCGGGUUAAUAAGAAUGGAGGGUCAGUCUACUAUACGCCUAGUGUACAGAUUUUUGGAGAUGCCAGCAUCCUUCUUACAUGAUCUCGAGAGCUUUGCAUACUGAUGCCGUUAAUGUAGCUAAUGGAGAAUUAAUUCAAGGAGGUCCUCUUGUAGAAUAUGAACGAAGAAUAGCUGCUGGUGAACUUGUGGAUGGAGAUAUUUGCCAGGUUUUAGGCACCCUGAGACAACUGCAGAGACUCUAUGAUGAGCUGGUCGAGAAAGCUGAUGCUUGCCGACUUGAUCGAUAUACAGCUUCGGAGAAAGCAGGAAGGAGUCGGUGGUUGUGGUCACGUUUCAUACCACAGUCUUCAUAUGCUCCUGUGAAAGGACUCUAUCUUUGUGGAGGAGUUGGUACUGGGAAAACUAUGUUGAUGGACAUGUUUUUUGAUCAGUUGCCUUGCAAUUGGAGGAAGAAAAGAAUUCAUUUUCAUGACUUUAUGCUGAAUGUCCACAGCCGCUUGCAAAAGCACAACGGUGUUGCUGAUCCCCUAGAAGUUGUUGCUGGAGAAGUAUCAGAUGAAUCAAUCUUGUUAUGUCUUGAUGAAUUCAUGGUUACUGAUGUUGCUGAUGCAUUGAUACUAAAUCGUUUAUUUAGGCACUUAUUUAGCCAUGGAGCUAUCCUUGUUGCUACAUCAAACCGUGCUCCUGAUAAUCUUUAUGAGCGUGGACUUCAAAGGGAUCUCUUUCUUCCUUUUAUAGCUUUACUGAAGGAAAGAUGUAUUGUUCAUGAAAUUGGGUCAUCAGUAGACUACCGUAAGAUGACUUCGGUAACGUAUCAUAUUCAUCUGAUUUACUCUAUGAGAAGUUAUUUUUGCUUAUGUGUAGUUAUGGUUUCCGAUUGCAUAAAAUCUAGUAGUACCACUAUUUCACAAAAACAAAGAAUUAGCUGUGUGACUAGAGACUUUUCUCUUGCAAUGCAGGCACAGCAGGGUUUCUACUUUGUUGGGAAAGACCUGUCAAGCCUUCUAAAUGAAAAGUUUCACCAGUUGAUCGGCAACCACAAAGCUGUACCACAAGAGGUGGAAGUAGUUAUGGGAAGGACAUUGCAGGUUCCGCUGGGUGCUAAUGGCUGUGCCUAUUUCCCGUUCGAGGAACUCUGUGACAGACCACUUGGGGCUGCAGAUUAUUUUGGAUUAUUUAAGAAAUUUCACACACUGGCUUUGGAAGGUGUGCCAACUUUGGGUCUCCACAACAGGACUGCUGCAUAUCGGUUUGUCACUUUAGUUGAUGUUAGUCCUUUUCCUUGAAAUAUCUGUUUCAGUUCAGAAUGUUUCUGAAAGGGAAGGAGCUUUGGGGUCACAUUGAUGGGUCUUCUACUGCUUCUGGAACUGAGAAAGAAAUAAGUCAAUGGGAAUCAAAUGAUUCACGAAUUAUUUCAUGGAUUUUAGCAUCCAUUGAACCUCAUAUGGUGAACAGCUUACGUUCAUUUAAUACUGCAAAGGAGAUAUGGAAUUUUCUGAAACGCAUAUAUCAUCAACACAACACUGCAAGACGAUUUCAGCUUGAACUUGAUAUCAGUAAGUUCAGUCAAGGAGGCCUUAGCAAGCUUUCAAAAAGUUCAUCAAGUUAGCAUGCGUGAUCAGUUUUUGAUGAAACUGAGGCCAGAAUUUGAGACUGCUCGGGGUGGAUUGCUGAAUCGAAAUCCAGUUCCUUCUUUGGAUGUGUGUGUUGGUGAAUUGUUACGGGAAGAACAAAGAUUGGCUACACAGUCAAUUCUAAGUGCAGCUGGUGGGACAUCAGAGGUUGUCAAUGUUGCUUAUGCUGCACAAGGAAGGAAUAGAGGAAAGGGACAAAUGCAGUGCUACAGCUGCAAGGAGUUUGGCCAUAUUGCUCGCAAUUGUGGUAAGAAAUUCUGCAGUUACUGUAAGCAAAGUGGACAUAUUCUCAAGGAAUGUCCUACACGUCCGGAAAACAGGCGAGCCCAAGCUUUUCAAGCUACUGUUCCAGAUGCUCCUGUUAUUGGUCCUACAUCUACCACCAGCCAGACUGUUCUGACCCCAGAAAUGGUCCAGCAGAUGAUUCUUACUGCAUUUUCUGCCCUUGGACUUCAAGGUCAAGGACCAGAUGUCGGGGAAGGUAAUCGCGAAGGGGCCUAGAGUGGGAAGAUUAUUUCCAUUGCAAUUUACUAUUCCUAGAACUUUAUCUUUAGCCUCUAUGAUUGUUGACAAUAAGGCUGAAAUUUGGCAUAGACGAUUAGGUCAUCCAAAUAAUGUCAUUUUAUCUGAUUUAAUAAAGCGUGGUUUUCUUGGUGCUAAA